CCCUCUUCCCGAUGGCCUUUUGGCUAAGAUCAAGUGUAGUAUCUGUUCUUAUCAGUACAUAUCAGUUUUUGAAGAGGUUUACCAAAAUUUUUGUGGACUUUUCAAAGAAAAGUAUUCAUGAGCACAGACUUUUACUUUCAUGAUAUUACAAACUAUU
Molecule: small nuclear RNA, 157 nt
Gene: U2
Rfam family: U2 spliceosomal RNA
About the family: U2 is a small nuclear RNA (snRNA) component of the spliceosome (involved in pre-mRNA splicing). Complementary binding between U2 snRNA (in an area lying towards the 5' end but 3' to hairpin I) and the branchpoint sequence (BPS) of the intron results the bulging out of an unpaired adenosine, on the BPS, which initiates a nucleophilic attack at the intronic 5' splice site, thus starting the first of two transesterification reactions that mediate splicing.
Source: Ensembl